GCAAACUUGGUCAUUUAGAGGAAGUAAAAGUCGUAACAAGGUUUCCGUAGGUGAACCUGCGGAAGGAUCAUUACCGAGUUAGGGUUCCAUCUCGUUAAAACAGAACGGGCCCGACCUCCCAACCCUUUGCUUACUUGACCUUUUGUUGCUUCGGCAGGCCCGCCUCCGGGCCGCCGGGAGUCGUUCAUUCACUCCUGGCCAGCUUUGCCUGCCGACGGCCCCAAAUCUCAAAACUCUUGUUUAUAAAACGUGUCGUCUGAGUACUUGUUUUAAACACAAAAAUUAAAAACAAAACUUUCAACAACGGAUCUCUUGGUUCUGGCAUCGAUGAAGAACGCAGC
Molecule: unclassified non-coding RNA, 341 nt
Filed under: uncultured fungus
Lineage: Eukaryota; Fungi
Description: partial contains small subunit ribosomal RNA, internal transcribed spacer 1, and 5.8S ribosomal RNA
Rfam family: Eukaryotic small subunit ribosomal RNA (bases 1-73)
Source: RNAcentral